AGUGAACGCUGGCGGUAGGCCUAACACAUGCAAGUCGAACGGCAGCACAGUAAGAGCUUGCUCUUACGGGUGGCGAGUGGCGGACGGGUGAGGAAUACAUCGGAAUCUACUUUUUCGUGGGGGAUAACGGAGGGAAACUUACGCUAAUACCGCAUACGACCUACGGGUGAAAGCAGGGGAUCUUCGGACCUUGCGCGAUUGAAUGAGCCGAUGUCGGAUUAGCUAGUUGGCGGGGUAAAGGCCCACCAAGGCGACGAUCCGUAGCUGGUCUGAGAGGAUGAUCAGCCACACUGGAACUGAGACACGGUCCAGACUCCUACGGGAGGCAGCAGUGGGGAAUAUUGGACAAUGGGCGCAAGCCUGAUCCAGCCAUACCGCGUGGGUGAAGAAGGCCUUCGGGUUGUAAAGCUCUUUUGUUGGGAAAGAAAAGCAGCAGGUUAAUCCACCGCCGUUCUGACGGUACCCAAAGAAUAAGCACCGGCUAACUUCGUG
RNAcentral lists this ribosomal RNA (492 nucleotides) under uncultured bacterium. RNAcentral's name for it is "partial 16S ribosomal RNA". It matches the Rfam family "Bacterial small subunit ribosomal RNA", at positions 29 to 507 of the family's 1533-position model. The record is from RNAcentral.